This 11242-nucleotide long non-coding RNA is filed under the name Glycine max (soybean). Its description in RNAcentral is "long non-coding RNA (GMAX_LNC004248)". Lineage: Eukaryota; Viridiplantae; Streptophyta; Magnoliopsida; Fabales; Fabaceae. The record is from RNAcentral.
CUGUAGCAUGUCAUGACUUCAGCAGGGUGACAAAUGACAAUCAAACUCCAAUGAAGACUAUAGUUUAUGGGAAUGAAGAUAUAAUCCUUUUCAAAAAGGUUCACUUUUCUUGUCCAAUUGCUUACACGCUGAAAUGCUGCUUUACCAUCACAAGCAAUUGAACGAUUAUCUGUGCUUAAAUCAACAAGCUUAGGAAAGAAAAAGCAAUUGAAAAAGUGAAACCUCUUCUGUUUAUCACUUGGGAGUUUAUUAUUUAUCAAAUACUUUAUAUAAAAGUCAAUGAUAUUAUCAUUAAGGCAUUUCUCAGGCUGUAAAAGCUCAAUAUCGCUCUUCCUGAUGUAAAUAGCAUCAGGGUCCCCCUUUGGAUAACAAAUUGCCUUUUCCAUGUCAUUGCUUUUAAAUGCAGCAGAAUCAUGCUCCACAUCUUCUGAGGGAUUGAAGUUGAAGUAGAAAUCAAAGAAAAUGUUAGACUUGAUUUUUUUAUUUUGUUACGAGGGAAGAAAGAAAUAAAAUAUAAGUAACUACUGUCUAACACAAGUAACACUGCACCUAAAGAAUCUUGAUUGUGCACCUAGUUGGUAAUAUUAGUAACUGACUUUUUUUUAUGCUAACUUAUUUUGAAGGUCCCUAUGAGGAUCGUUUUUUUAUAAUUAUGUGGUACUUCUACUAUUAUAUGUAUUGUGUUCUUCUGUUAAAGAAUCGUUAUAUUAUCCUUUUCAAUCAAAUGAAGUUAUACAUUAGAUAAAAAUAUAAAAAUAUAAAAAUUAAACACCAAGAAGAUUCAUAAAUAUAAAUUUAAACUUUAAGGUUUAAGAUUAUCCAAACAUAAAAAAAAAUGCAGUCACCAUUUGUAAACUUCAACAAAAUCAAGAAAAAAAUGUAAAAUAUUGAAUAUUUGAAUUAAAAAAAAAACAGAAAUUUAUCUAAAGUUUAAGAAAGCAUUAUAUAAAAUUAAAGGUGGCAACUUUCAUUGCUAUCUCAAAAAAUGUUAAGCAUAUUACUUACCUUGUAAUUGAUUCCGUGUAAUUGAACCGGAAGCAGGAUAGUGGGGGCAUUUUCUAAUAUUUUUUCCUCCACCAAUGAUAUGCUCUUUAAUUCUUGUAGCACCUCCAUGGAACUCCCCUUCACAAUGGUUGCACUUCCACAUGUCACCUAUUUUUUCAACUUCAUUCCAGUAAUUACUUUUGGGCCGACCUCCCCUUUUUCUUUUUCUUUUACUGCUACUAGCCCCAUUCAUGAUUUAUUCCCUAAACACAACAAUAAUUUUAAUAUAGGCCUAUCUUUAAACUAGAUAAAUAUAUAUAAUAAGUGAAAGAAAAUCUCAGAAUAAUUAGAGAAUAAAAAAGGAUUACCGAAUGAUGGCUUCCCUGGUAGUUGUGGAAACACAAAGUUUUAUGAAUAAAUUUGAGAACUACAAAGAAACAGAGAGAGAUUAGAUCUGGAAGCUCGGCGAUAAGAACUUGGUCUUAACCUUAUCUUUGGGGAAUGGCUUGUGGUUGUUAUACAGGCUGUCGCCGUACUGUAACACGUUGUUUACAACCUUAUCUUUGGGGAAUGGCUUGUGGUUGUUAUACAGGCUGUCGCCGUACUGUAACACAUUGUUUACAAAUUACAAAGACUUUGGCUUUGCAAGAUAAACACAAUUUCAGAGUACGGAGGUGGGGUAGCUUAGUGUGGAAUGAAGACCAUUGAAUUCAGUACUCGAACUUGCUCCCUCUCUUCCUCAACUUGGGGAAUAGAUGGUCAAUUACAUAAGAUGCUCAAGGCUUAGUUAUUAUUAUUUUUUAAUCACGUUGUUUUUACUCAUAAAAUUCAAAUAAAAAAUUUUCCUAAUCAGAUUUGCCAAACAAAAAUAUUUAUAUCUAUACUAAAUUAAAGUGGAACUUGUUUGAUGUUUUUAUUUUUUAUUUUUUAAUCUUAAUGUUCCUUUUAAACUACAAUGACCGUUUAUAAACCUACUGCAAUAGCAUAUCCUCCAACGGAAUAAUUUAUUAACCAGUGAAAACAAAGCCACAAGAAUACAUAACAAAGUCCAAAACAGAGGAAGGAAAAAUUAUGAACAUAUCUAAGCCGUAUAAAUUAAAUAUAAACAAAUGAAUGCAACUAACUAAGAAUAUUAUACAAAAAAAAUGUUAUAAAAUGCAAUUCAUGCAUGAGUGGUAUAUUGAAAACUAUUAUAGAAGGCCACUUAAUCCUCUGUACAUUAUGAAUAUAGUAGUCAAUAAUAUUUCUUUUUAACGGGUCACUAUCUGUGUGAAAGCAAGCUGACUUGGCUAAUCAAGUUUUAUCUUUUUAAUUGAUGGAAUAUUUCCUCCUCAUGUCAUCAAACAUAAUAUUUGUGUAGUUGUUUUUACUUAAAUAUGGUGUAACCUUAUAUGAGGACAGAUUGGGUGAGAACAUAGUUUAUUUAAAGGCUUUGGUAAAUUAUAGGGUAUUCCUUAUAUAUAUAUCAAUGAUUUUCUUUGUCGAUAAAAAAAUUCUUAAAAAUAUUGAUUAAGAAACUUAAAAUAAAAAUAUUUGUAUCAAAAGAAAAAAAAAACUAUAUUAUUUUUAGUGGAAGACAGAAAAUUAUGUCGUUCAGAAUUUCCUUUAAAAUUUUGAAAAUUUUGGGGAGCAAAAAGCAAAAAUUGGGGUACAAGUCAAUAGCCACUCCUAUGUUGUGUACAGAUAAGGAAAAAACCACUCCCUGUUACCUGUUCCGUUAAGAUUAUUCUUCUCAUUCACUUUGUAAUUUGACUUGUGUAACAAGCAAUAUCCUGACCGAAAUAAUGUUAACAUAUCAUUUAAAUUUUACUGGAUCAAACUUUUUAUAUCAAAAAUAGUAUGACGUAAAUUAAGUCUAAUUCGUACAGAAUUUUUAGUAUUUUUUUACAUAAAUUAAAAUUAAAAAUUAAAAAUAAUUAAUUUAAAUUUAAUUAUUAUACAAUUUUUUCAAAUAUACUUUUUUUUGUUUUUGUAAAUUAGUAGUCCGUGUGGUAGUUUUACGUCUUCUCCUGUCUAUUUUUUAUUUUUAGUAUUUACAUACAAAAAGUUACACCUAUGUGUAAUAUUGUUUUUUCAAAAGAAAUUAUUAUUAUUACUGGGAAAAGAGAGGCAUUUCAUCUCUUUCUAAAAAAAUUAAAUAAUGAAUAAAAUAAAAUAGAAAGUGACAGCAUAAAAAAAAUCUAACAAUAUAAAAGCAAUGAGAAGUUACUGUAGAUUCAAAAUUUAUAAGUUUAAGAAGUUAUUUAAGAAUAAAUUAUUCAAUAAAAAUGUCGCACUAAAUUGAGAUAUUAUUAAUUAGGGGAAAAAGAUAGUCCAUGUCUUUUUUAAUUUUUGAAAACUAAAAAUAAUAUUGGGUAGUUUUUAGGAUGUGAGUAAGGUGUGGGUUAGUUGAAGAGAAUAGUUACAAGAUUUUAUUUCUCUGAAAAGGUAAUUUUAGGAAUAAAAUGAAAAAAAGUGAACACACCAAUAUUUUAUUUCCUUUGUUGAUAAUACAGAUAUAUAUAGAUUAUUAUUAUUCCUUUUUCUUAAAAUAUUUAUUAUUAUUAUUAUUAUUAUUAUAUUUUUCUUUAAUAAGAAAGUACAAUAUAUGUUUUGGGAGACAGAAUAAUUGUUUGUGAAAUAUUAGAAAAAUAAAUUAUAUUAAAAAUAAAUAAUUGUUUGUGAAAUAUUACAGUUUGCAAAAUUUGGCAGACUUCCUUGCAGGUUAUCCUCCUGAGUAUUGUUUCUCACUCUUCCAACUUCGUUGCGAAUGUUAAUGCCAACUGGGAAAGGAACCUGUGUUGCUAGCAAAGUUAGUACCCAUUUUGUAGCUUCAUCUCUUGGUAAAAAGAGAAGUGCAAAUUUCAAAUGGCUUGCCAAGAUUCUAUAUUAUGCUUGAAGCAGGCAAGAAUACUAGCAGUGUAACUGAUAAAUGGAUUUUAGAGGAAAUUUACACCUGAUCACUGGCAUUAGGGCCAUCGGCGUUGAAGAGGAUAUAGGCUUGCAGUGCUUAUCCUCAUUCAUCAAGCUUGAAUUUUGGAAGUGAGCAAUGAGAGCUGCUUUCCCUUGUAUGCGAGCAUAUGCUAGUGAUGCCACUUUCUCACUGUUGAAUUUCUCCCAUUUCUUCCCAUUGAACACCUGCCAGAAAUGCAUCAUAAGUUAGUCUAUUAGUACAGUGUGUAUGCGUGUGUGUGUGUGUGAAUGUUAUGUGAUUAUAAGUUUAACAGCAAUCAUUUAAGCCAGGAUUGAUCAUGUUGAUGAAUGCAUAUCCCACAUUGCCAUUGUUCUGCAAUUAAUGUUAAUUCCAUAAAAGUCAAAAAUCCAAACUUGAGAACAGAUACGAAUUCACGCGAACACAAAAACCCACGAUUGAAGAGUGAAAAGGCAGAGGUGGCUUAAGACCCAAUCAAUCCAAGCAAAAGCUUAAGUCACAAAAAAAAAAAUCCCAAAAUUUGUUUUAGUACUGAUAUGCUUCAAAAAACAUUUUAUUGUAAAAUUAUAUUUGAAAAUAAAUUUUAAUUAAAAUAUUAUAAAUAAUAGUUAAUUUUUUAAUUCAUACUAAUAAUUAGAACAAAAACUCUUUAUUAAUAUCAUAAAUUUACUUAGAAAAAAGAAAUUGUAUGAUUAGAUAAAAGGCUUUUCAUUUAAGCCUUUAAGUCCUUGAGUCUUGAGCCGUUGCUCCUGAAAAGGGGUGACAUAAAGGAAGACACCGACCUUGUGGGAAAUGGAAGGGGUGAGAAUGAGUUAAAUAGUAUGGAAAGAGGUGAGAGAAAACGAAUGUGUUAUGUGGCGUGCAAGAUCCUCCAUCCAAAUCUUCUCACACCCUAUUAUCGUUCCCUGCAUUGCACGUUACUAACUCCUCUCACCUUCACUUUUUCUUCUUUGUGAACUUCAACGGAAUUUGGGAGGUCUCGCCGGAACUGUAAGUUUCCCGGUGAGCAGGGACGGAGAGAUGGUUUUUUUUUUUUUUCGUUUAUAACGGCGUCAAUACGGGUUCAAAGAGCAGCUGAUUAACCAUUAUCCACACUUGUUCAUUUAUCCAUGAGUACGGGUUGAAUUACACUUUGAUUAUGGAUGGAUUUUUUUUUACAUCUUUAAUAAAAAAAAUUAAGUGGGUUUUUUAAGUUUUUAUUUUUAUUUUUAUGGUGUCAUAUACAUAAUUUUGUUUUAAUAGUAAAAAUUUUUAGAAAAUUUCAUGUUAUUCACACUUUUAUUUAUUUAUUUUUCAUUUAAUUAUGAUGUUUUUAUGUGUUAGAGAAAUGUUAUUUUUAUUGUUAAAAAACAAUUUAUUAUCGAAGAUAUAAAUUUUAUUUUUAAGAAACGUUGGUGGUCACAUUAGAUGAAAAAAAAGGUACAAUAAACAAUAAUCAAUCUUUUUCACUAACAAAAUCCUUAAAAAAAUCCAAUGAAGAAGUGUAUUUAAUUGAAUUCUUUUAUUAUCUUUCUCUCCUAUUAUUAUUUUUUCUUAGAACAAAGUGUAAAAUAACAAGAAUGUUAACCAAUGUUAUUUAAUAAAUAAGAAACAAUAUAAUAUUUAAUAGUAUCGAUCUAUUUUUAUCAUAUUUUAAGAAAAAACUACUUGUUAAUUAACCCCCUUAAGCAUAUUCAAUAAAAUGAUCUUGAUUUCUACAUGGAUAAAAUACACAACGGAGCCCAAUUUUUAUUAUGUACGUCAGGUGCAAAAGUUAAUAGACAUAAAAAAACACAUUUUUGUUGUGUACUAUGCUUAUAUCCCUUAUACAAAACAAAUAAGUUAUAAUUUGUUCGAUGAAUAUAUGUUUUUUGUGUUUUAAGAAUGACUAAUCAUAUUAUUUAAUCCAGGUGUAAGUGGAUGAUCAAUUCAUGAUCCUGUCCAGUUCAAUUAAAUUAGAUUUUUAUGGAUUAUAUUGAAUUAUUAGAUUGGUUUUAAUUUAAUAAAACCAAUUAUGCUUGGAUUGAGUGAUAGGUUUGGAGUUUAAAAUUUAACCAAAACCCAACUCAAUUGAAUGUAACACAAUUUAAUGUUUUAUGAUUAUAGUUGAUUUAAGUAUUUUAGUUUUAUUUUGUAUACUACUUUUAGAAUUCUGGUUACCUCUAGUGUUUGGGAAAUAUUUACUCUAAUCAAGAUUUUUGUAACAUAUAAUAUUAAAGUUUACCUAGUUGUAGCCGUAUAUGAUAUCAAGUAUCAAUUCUUUGGGUUUGGAAAUUUUCAGCUAUAUGUAUCAGUCAGCACUCUAUAGAUCAGAGGCUUGCACCUAGAUGCUCUCAGUCAUGGAACGGAAAUGUUAGCCUAUAAAUGGGUAAUGGUAAAAUGAGUAGUAAAUUAACGAGAGAGUGGAGACCGGAGAGGGAGGUGUUGGAUACUUGCCAAACCUUCCUCCACCAUAUGAAAUUGCAAUGCCCGGAAAUACAUUCUUCCCCGAACCGAUUAUGAAUGGUACCAAUAAAAGCCAGUAUACUAUUUCACAAAGCAAAUUAUGAUUUUGUUUUUUCUUUACAAGAAUUACGAAUACAAAGACUAAUUCUGGGUUUUUCAUGAUUGGGACAAUAGUCGAUUUCCAAUAUAUCCUCAGAGUUAAUGAGUAAAAUUCCUUUGCAUACCGUCUUUAAUUCUGGUAACCAGCGUAGUAGCAAUUUGGUUAACUUGGGAAGUGCAAUGUUGUCGGAACUAUCUCCUGCAAAUAUCUCCUUUAUUGAUUCGCAGUCCGAUACCGAUAUAGACUCCAGGUUUUGAAGUUGUGGCACUAACCCUGGCGUCAGCAACUUCUCGAUCUGAUGGCAUCCAUCGAUACUCAAUUCCUUGAGAUGAGAAAACACCCCCCUCCGAGAUAAAGAUUGUGUUAAACCAGCAACAUCUUCCUUGCAGAUGACACUUAAACGAUCCAAAUUAUUAAGUUUCAAAGAUUUGAGGUUUUGGAUAUUAGUGCAUAAGGAACAAGAUACACAGAAUAAACUCUUCAAUUUUGUGCAGUAUCCAAUGUCAAUGUCCUUGAAAGAUAGAGAACCAUUAGAUGACAGAGCAGCACAUAAGCAUUCCCAUUGAUGAUUACCACUUACAAGUAAUUCCGCAAGGUCUCUUGGCAGUAAAUAGGGUAAUUCAUCGCAAUCUCCAAAACAUACCCUUCGACGCUUGAAUUCAAGACAAAGAUAAAUAGGAUUCUCAGAAAAUCCAAGUGUGUAAUCAUCAAAUUUUCCAAAAUAGAUAAAAUAGGUUUGAGGUCCAUAACCAGUGUCCUGAAUUUCUUGCACAUAACGGUUGUAGCAAUCCUGAUCGAGAAAGCUUACUGCAAAACAUUCAAGCAUAGUCAUCCCUUUUACAUCUUCUACUUUUAUACCUGACCAACCCCGGAGAUCCAGAUAUUGCAUAUUGCUCAAACCGGGCAGUGCGCAUCCGGGUAACAAUGAUAAAUACAAAUCGCGGGAAAGAUUAAGGCAUUGCAACUUUUUUAGAUUUUGCAAGCCUUCCGGUACCCUGAGGAGCGAAUCACAACCUGAAAUGUCCAAUCUUGACAAUGCUUGUAGAUCUCCCAGUGGAGGUAUAUCUUUCAAUUUUGAACAUUGACGGAGCACUAAAGAAGUAAGAGACCUCAACUUAGACAGAGACUUUGGCAAAGAUGUUAACUCAUAAUUAUAUGAUAAAUCAAGUAGUGUUAGAGCAUUCAUGUGUCUGAAAAAACACUUGGGAAUAUGACUGAUCAAAUUAUGAGAUAAAAUCAAGGUGGACAAGCCUGGACAAUUAGGUGAUGUGCCCUCUGCUAUUUCUUCUAUCUCAUUACCCGCCAAAGAAACUGCCUCCAGAUCAGCUGUCCAUUCCCGCAUCUGAGGUAUCUUUCUCAAAUUUUCAUCACAUUUUAUCAUGUAAGUGUGAUUCUCGUUCAAGAUAUGGCACGCCAUCUUCCUCACCAGACCAUGCAUUCGUAAACUCCCACGAUCUAACAACAAAGAAUGGUUAAUGAGUUUAUCCAUUAUGACGCGUCCCUCAUCAAAUGUUUCCUCCAAACUCCUCUUUCCAUUUAACAACCCACUCUCAACAACCAUCGUAACCCAUUCCUCUUUCCUAAUAAUAGUAGGAAACAGUGCAGACCGUAAGAAACAUUUUUGGAUGUCCUUUUCAAUUAAAUUGUCAUAGCUACGUUUUAGUACGCUUAAGACCUCUUCUCCCAUUUCCAAUCUGUCAAGUUUAUUCAAUGCAUGUCUCCACCAAUGGAUCUCAUUUUUCCCUUUCAUGGUUCGAGCCAUCACACUGAUUCCAAGUGGUAAACCAUCACAUUUCAUUACAACAGAUCUUGCAAUCUCUAGCACAUGAGGGGAAAGUCUUGCAGGUGUUCCACGGUGCCCAAGUUUUAGCAAAAAUAAUUCCCAAGCUUCUUCUUCUUCUUCUUCUGUUAUUAUAUUAAGGGGUAUUGUUAUUAUAUUAUUUGGUAGGCAAUCCAUCUGUAGACACACAUGUUUCAAACGAGUUGUGAUAAUCAAUUUAAUGCCAUUCACUUUAAGAGGAAUCCCCACCUUUUGCAGAUCAAUAUAAUCCCAAACAUCAUCCAAAAUAAGCAGUGUUUUUUCUCUUUUCUCCAACUCUGACGUCAAAAUUGUUGCUCUAGUCAUCUCAUCUCCGUAAAGCUUAACCUGUAUUGUUUCUGCAAUGUCAUGUUGCAAUUUGAAAGUGGUGAAAUCAUCGGAAACAGUGACCCAGAAGACAUCCUUGAAAGUCCCCUUUCUUUUAAUCUCAUUCUUGAUAUGAGUUGCCAUGAAUGUUUUUCCAACUCCCCCCAUUCCAUCUAUGCCAAUAAUGAAGACUUCCUCAUCCUCCAGAAGAUCCCACAUCUUCUUCACAUUUUUAUCUCGCAACCCCCAAGGCUUCUGUAUCAAUAAUACAUCAAACUCAAUAUCCAAUUCAGAAGGCUCAUCCAAUUCAUUAGUCGACCCAGACUGAUGCAGUGAGUUUUUCACAUCAAUAGCUCUUUUUUUAAGGUCCUUUAGUUUAUCCAACCAAUCGUCAUCUUGUCUCUUGCGCUUAUUGCCCUGGAACUCCCGCCAAUGUAACCAGUCUUCUUCCCUUGUUAGUUUGGAUAACAACUGAUUUAUAGUCAAAGCAUCGUCACCAUUGCUACCUCCGUUCACAGUAUGAUCUUCUACAUCACCUGUUUCAUUGUUUUGGUUAUGCUACAUUCUUAAAUUUUUCUGUUGCUCCUUCACUGUAGAAUAACACAACUCUCCCGUGUGUUUUAAUAAUGAGUCUUUAGACAGAAAAUUUUAUUUUUAAAUUGAUUUACAAUAUAUUACGUCAAAAUAAUUUUUUUAGAAUUAUAUUAAAUUAAAAGAAUUUCAAACUCACACAUAACAAAAAGAAUUAUUUUACCCAAAUAAAGAAUAUAUUAAAAAACGGAAAGGAAUUAAUUUAACUGAAAUAAUUAAUUUUUCAUGUGUUUUAACUUUUUUCAAUGAAGGUGGAAUCUAAGUAAAAAAAAAUGUAACCAAUCAUAUAUAUAUAUAUAUAUAUGAAAGUGCUUUAUAGCACCAAUAUAUAUUGGAAUGUAAUAAAUUUACUUUUUCAUGUCACGCUAACGGUAAGAAAUAAAAAUUGAACUUAGUUUAAUAUUCAAAGGAAUGUUAAGCACUAACAACUUUCUUGUGUGAAAUGAUAAAACUGAUUAUUGAGAAUUAAAAAAAAAUCUAUAUGUGUUGUAUCACCUAAAUAAAAUAAUAAAAGGCGCAUCCGUGUGAAGAAGGAAAAGAGCAUAAUGGAAUUGGUGAGGGUAAGAUUUAAGAACAUAUUGGAAUGGCAACUAGAAUGCGUACCUCCUAAUAAAGCAGCUGACAAUUUUGUACUGUUUUGAGGGUUAACUGAACCACCAACAAUCAUUUUAUUGUCUCCUUCAGCCGCUUCAAUGCAACAAAAGAUAUAGACAAAACAAAAUAUAGUCACCAUCUUCAAACUUCAACAAAAGUAAAAAAUAAAAAUGUCAAAUAGUAACAUACUAAUACUAUUAAUGCUAACUUAAUAUCUUAAAGAUGAUAGGGUACUUAUAAUAAUGCUAACAAUUAAGGAAAGUUUGAUAGGGCAAAUCUUUCUCUCUCACACACAAACUAUAAAAUUGAGGAUUUUAAAAUAAAAAUCAAACUUUGUUAUAUCACCUAAGAAAUAAAAAAACACAAGUGUAAAGAGCAGGAAAUGAACACAACUAAUUAAUUGGUAAGUAAACAGAUUCAUACCUAUUAAUAGUUUCUGUAUAUGAGAUCGUUUCAGAGGAGCAUCUGGUGGAGGGAACCAAUAACUGAACUUGCUUAUCAUGGAACGGUUGAAGUUGAUUGGAGCUUGUUCCAGAAAACGUUCCACAUAGUGGAGCAAAAAGAUGCCACAAUCGUAUGCAUUUUGUUGCUGAGGCAGCUCAAGUGGCACGAAUGGAAGAUGUAAAAAUAUAGAAGAAACAUCAUCAUCCCUCACAUUGUUGUGCCUCUCUUUCCAUUCUUCACAUAGAUAACUUUGGAAAACAUUGUGGAGAUCUUGAUGAAUUCCUUUUCGGGAAUCCAUGUGCAAGAUGCAAGCUUCUUUGGGAGAUCCCUUAGUUUCUUCAUCUCUGUAGCAUGUCAUGACUUCAGCAGGGUGACAAAUGACAAUCAAACUCCAGUGAAGACUAUAGUUUAUGGGAAUGAAGAUAUAAUCCGUUUUAAAAAGGUUCACUUUUCUUGUCAAUUUGCUUACACGCUGAAAUGCUGCUUUACCAUCAGAAGCAAUUGAUGGAUUAUCUGUGCUUAAAUCAACAAGCUUAGGAAAGAAAAAGCAAUUGAAAAAGUGAAACCUGUCCUGUUUAUCAGUUGGGAGUUUAUUUUUCAAAUAAUUGAUAUAAAAGUCAAUGAUAUUAUCAUUAAGGCAUUUCUCAGGCUGUAAAAGCUCAAUAUCGCUAUUUCUGAUACAAACAGCAUCAGGGUCCCCCUUUGGAUAAAAAAACGCCUUUUCAAAUGCAGCAGAAUCAUGCUCCACUAUCUGGUCUCCCAAGUUAAUUUCAUCUUCUGAGGGAUUGAAGUUGAAGUAGAAAUCAAAGAAAAUGUUAGACUUAGAUUUUUUUUUAUGAGGGAAGAAAGAAAUAAAAUAUAAGUAACUACUGUCUAACAUAAGUAACACUGCGCCUAAAGAAUCUUGAAUUUAGACAUCUCGUUAUAAAAUUACUUUUAAAUAAGUUAAUAUGAAUGUUAUUUUAAACCUUAAAAUAAACAUACAUUUUAUAAAUAUGAUAGAGUUGACUAUUAUAAAACAAUUUAUAAAUUUCCAACUUUAUUUCAUUUUCAAUAAUUUUGUUUUCAU